RNAcentral lists this ribosomal RNA (450 nucleotides) under uncultured bacterium. RNAcentral describes it as "partial 16S ribosomal RNA". It matches the Rfam family "Bacterial small subunit ribosomal RNA", at positions 354 to 796 of the family's 1533-position model. The record is from RNAcentral.
GUGGGGAAUAUUGGACAAUGGGCGAAAGCCUGAUCCAGCCAUGCCGCGUGUGUGAAGAAGGUCUUCGGAUUGUAAAGCACUUUAAGUUGGGAGGAAGGGCAGUAAGUUAAUACCUUGCUGUUUUGACGUUACCGACAGAAUAAGCACCGGCUAACUUCGUGCCAGCAGCCGCGGUAAUACGAAGGGUGCAAGCGUUAAUCGGAAUUACUGGGCGUAAAGCGCGCGUAGGUGGUUCAGCAAGUUGAAGGUGAAAUCCCCGGGCUCAACCUGGGAACUGACUCCAAAACUGCAUGACUAGAGGACGGUAGAGGGUAGUGGAAUUUCCUGUGUAGCGGUGAAAUGCGUAGAUAUAGGAAGGAACACCAGUGGCGAAGGCGACUACCUGGACUGAUACUGACACUGAGGUGCGAAAGCGUGGGGAGCAAACAGGAUUAGAUACCCUAGUAGUCC